RNAcentral lists this ribosomal RNA (348 nucleotides) under Triticum aestivum (bread wheat). RNAcentral describes it as "partial small subunit ribosomal RNA". Lineage: Eukaryota; Viridiplantae; Streptophyta; Magnoliopsida; Poales; Poaceae. The record is from RNAcentral.
AUGCUUUACGGCUUAGAAUCGAGACUUCAAAGACAUUUUGAACGUCAUGGACCAUAUGAGAUGUUCCAGGAGUUGAAGUUAAUAUUUCAAGCAAAUGCCCAAGUUGAGAGAUAUGAAGUCUCCAAAAAGUUCUAUAGCUGCAAGAUGGAGGAGAACGGUUUUGUUAGUGAGCACAUACUCAGAAUGUCUGGGUACCAUAAUCACUUAACUCGACUGGGAGUUAAUCUUCCAGAUGAUUGUGUCAUUGACAAAGUUCUUCAAUCACUGCCACCAAGCUACAAAGGCUUCAUGAUGAACUACAAUAUGCAAGGGAUGGAAAAGACUAUCCCGAGCUCUUCGCGAUGCUAA